This 1364-nucleotide ribosomal RNA is filed under the name Didymium umbilicatum. RNAcentral describes it as "partial small subunit ribosomal RNA". It matches the Rfam family "Eukaryotic small subunit ribosomal RNA", at positions 928 to 1635 of the family's 1831-position model. The record is from RNAcentral. Lineage: Eukaryota; Evosea; Eumycetozoa; Physariida; Didymiaceae.
UGGCAAGUCGACCAAAGGCGAAAGCAGUCAUCAAGGGCACGCCCGUUGAUCAAGAGCGAAAGUUAAGGGUUCGAAGACGAUCAGAUACCGUCGUAGUCUUAACUAUAAAUGAUACUGACUAGGGAUAGGACUCUGUCCAUCUCGACUUCUCCCGGACCUUAGAGAAAUCAAAGUCUUUGAGUUCCGGGGGGAGUAUGGUCGCAAGGCUGAAACUUAAAGGAAUUGACGGAAGGGCACACAAAGAGUGGAACCUGCGGCUUAAUGGCUAGGCCGAGUCGUCUUGGUAGGCUGUUGCUGAGUAGCGAUGAAGGCUGGCGCAGAUGGUCCCUGCGCUAGCCUUCAGAGCCGCUCGGUAGCUGAGUAGCGAUGAAGGCUAGCGCAGAUGGUCCCUGCGCUAGCCUUCAGAGCCGCUCGGCAGCUGAGUAGCGAUGAAGGCUAGCGCAGAUGGUCCCUGCGCUAGCCUUCAGAGCCGCUCGGCAGCUGAGUAGCGAUGAAGGCUAGCGCAGAAGGACCCUGCGCUAGCCUUCAGAGCCGCUCGGCGACUGAGUAGCGAUGAAGGUUGGUGCAGAAGGUCCCUGCGCUAGCCUUCAGAGCCGCUCAGCGGCAGUCUGCUAGGGCGGCUAGUCGACUUCUCAUAACAGGGUUGAGUGAGGAGCGGCAAGACAACCUGGUACGAGGGAACUCUGGUUAGCAAUCAGCCAGACAAUCUCGUGGCGAGCCCCUGGCGAGCGAUUGUUGGGUGUGCCGUCGUAACGCGCGGUAAGGUGUCGGGGGUUCUUCGCAAGGAGGCCUCUUAAGGAACGUGCUACUCCCGCCUGCGAGGGUGUUCAGUUGUAAGGCCUCAACCGCCCCAGAACUGGAGACCUGCGAUCCCGUUUAAAUACCGGGGGAGGUUGGUGUAAAGGUAAUUUGACUCAACACGGGAAAACUCACCAGGUCCAGAUACGCGUAUGAAGGACAAGCUGAAAGACUUUUCUCAAUGACGUAAGUGGUGGUGCAUGGUCGUUCUUAGUUCGUGGAGUGGUUUGUCUGGUCUAUUCCGAUAACGAGCGAGACCCCGGCGUUCCUAAUAGGGGCGGCAGCCCGGCUCGCGCCUUCGGGCGCUUGCUAGCAGCCGCCUCGCAAUUGCUUCUUAGACGGAUCAGAGCCGAUAAGGUUCUUGAAAUGGGUUAAUAACAGGUCAGUCAUGCCCUUAGAUGUUCUGGGCCGCACGCGCGUUACAAUGGUAGGCUUAAAGAGUGCCUUUUGCGGGCGUUUCCGCGGCCGACGGGUCGCGGUAACCCCUAGUCUCUCCCAUGACUGGGCCAGACUAUUGCAAUUAUUGGUCUCAAACGAGGAAGUUUUAGUAGGCGCAGGUCAUUAAC